AGCAGUGUAGCAUAGUGGUAAGGCACAGGACUUAUAACCGGAAGGUUGUCGGUUCGAUUCCCCACUGGAG
Megalops atlanticus (tarpon) is the source of this 70-nucleotide non-coding RNA. The record is from the annotation of a GenBank genome assembly. Lineage: Eukaryota; Metazoa; Chordata; Actinopteri; Elopiformes; Megalopidae.